AUGUCAUGUUUACAGUUUGUUGAAAAGCAGACAUUGGCUGGGUUAUUUGGUGGAUGCCACUUAUCUUCGGUAGAAUCAUUAGUGGAAUUCAAAGAACAUUAUGAUCAGUGGAACUGCAAGAUAAGACAAGUCCUCGAUUUACAGUUUUGCUUUAGUAAUGACAGCUCAAGCAGAAGGACUUGUAAUAGACUUAGUUGACCUAAUCAUGCUCUUGAGCUGCCUAGACAUGGCAUAGGAUCAGGAACAAGUAUCUCCCUUGUGACUGUACAUUGCUGCAGUUCAGAGUCCGGAUGUCACAAGUUCUGCCAUACAGUUUAUAGUCAUCUUCAGUCUUCUCCCUUCCAGAAUUAUCAGUGGUUUUGGUUUUUUUAAAGCCUGAUAUACUCCUGUGGUCAUGAAAGCCAUACCAAUAGAAAGGACUAUUAGCUGUCAUCUGGCCUCAUUCUGGUGUGCUUUACCUCACUUUACAGUGUACCCUAUGUGGAGGACAAACACUUGAUAACCUGAAAAAAGCAGAGGUUUCAAUUUUAUUUGCCCAAAGGGGAGCAUAGUUACUUUCAUAACAAUAACUAAUUGAAUAAAGAACUCUCUUGUUAUGUGAUGUAACUUACUGGUAGUCAAGGCUGCCAGAGCCCAAACAGUAUCAUCUGCCCAUGUAAAGUUAUUCCAGUAUCCCAAAUGUGCAAGUAAUCCAGUCAUGUAUCUAGAGUAUUUUGCCUCUGAUUUGCCUACUAGAUCUGAUAGUGUGUUGUAGAAUGGUAUUUCAGGAGGUAAUGCACUAGUGCAGCCAUGGUUUUUUUACUUCCACUGUCCUGAAGAGACUGCAAUUUGCCACACUCUGUAUUCCAUCAAGUCUUCAAAAAGAGCAUGCUUACUCACCUGACAGUGACUCUGAUCCUUGAGGAUGUUUAUCAUAUUUAGGAAGAUAUUUAUCAUCUUUAGGAAUCCUAUCACCCACCUCCCAAGCCUGUUCUGGAAGUUUUCACCUAACACAGGCUUUCAGACCUGAGGAGAAUUGGGUGGAGCUGGAGUCAUUCUUCCUUUUAUACAGUAUGGGAUUACGAGGAUUCAUGCAGUAUAUGCAGAGCUCCAACAACCAUGCUGUUUAAAAGACUUCUGAAUUCACACAUGUGAAGCAUCUGUGUGUCCUCUGCAAGUUCUGUAAUGACUGCAAUGUUGUAAGAAAAGUAUCUGUUGUUAAUGUACCGAGUUUCACUACUGUAAAUACUGUUUUGGGUUACUGAGAUAUGACUUUUUCUCACUAGUAUUUUACUAACUUUUAAUGUUUAUAAUAUUGAAAAUCAGGUUGUAUACACCUAUUUACUGUAAAAUGUAUCAGUUUUCUGGUGUUAUGGAUAGUCAUGUUGUCUUCCUUUCAAGUAAAAUAGCAAAAUUAAUUCUUGAAACACAUUAGUAUUACAGACCUCUUCAACCCAUUAUACACAUAUUGAUUCCUGAUAUUCUCAAAACCUCUGAGGAAAAUGCCUUGCAUUAUUUUUCAUCUUGGAUUUUGCAAAACUGGAAAUGGAAGGGAUUAAAGGACCAUCUCAGGAUUUGGGAGGUUUUGCUUUUGUAUCCAGGUUUCAAGUUGAGUAUCCUCCACUUGGAUAAAUGCAUUUUCUUGUUGUAAGUUGUCUUUUAUCUAACAUGGACACAAUUAUUACAUCUCAAACAAGAGCAUUUGCAUUGCAGGGAAGAGAAGCAAGUUUUUUAAUCCUUCCUUUCCCUGUGUGUUAAAGGAUCCUUUUUGCACAGCACCUCUUUUGCUAAAUCUACUCUUUUCCCACAUUAGAUGCAUAGUGGGACACUCAGUGAUGUGAAGGGGGAGAGGAAGUAACAGAAUUGAUGUAUUCAUGUGAGAAAGUACUCGUGAUGGAAGAGAAUUGGGACACACACAUGCACACACUAGACAAAUGUACAUGCUAAGUAGAAAAAGCUGACCAGAUUUUUAGGUUGACUGGAUGGUAUCCAUUUACCAGUGAUUUUGGAAACGUUACUUUAACAAAAGAAAUGUGGCUACAAGUCCUUUCGGGGGCUCAUAAUAAUAAUAAUGAGUUUCAAGGAAGGAAGUUAGAGCAAGAAAAUUUUGAGUGUUUUGAGAAAUAUGUCUCAGUUCAAGUUUGAAUUCUGUUGAAUUUCUUGAAAACCCUCUUGAAAACUGUUGCAGCAGUGGGUAUUAGGCCAUCAUUUUGUCAGCAGAAGGUUGUUUUUCUGGAAACAGCCAUUGAGGAGUCGUGCACUGGUCUGCACUGGAUUCUAUGGGCAAAGCCACUGACUGUUAAUAAGCUCUGUCUGGCAGCCAGGAAAGCAACAGGGAAUGGAAAAUACCAGCACAAAAAGAGAACCAGGAAAAAAGGGACAGACUGCUUUUUAGGGGUAUGCUUUCUAAACCUAAAAAACAUUGGUUUAAAACCAAUUUAAAUACUUAGAGCUUCACUUUUUUUCCCCCUCAAGGAAAAUGACUGAAGCUUGGUAAAGUCAUGGGAGCAGAAGAUACUCAAAGAUGGAAUCACAUUUAGGUGUUUGGGAGGAGCAGGAGGAUUUCCAUGAAUCUGACAUGCUUCUUAAAAAUAAUGUAUGUGCAUGGAUGUUUGAGUGGUUCCUUUACAGAUAAUUUAUAUUUACUUCAGUCUCCAAAAGGUCCAUCUCUAAGAUAACAAAACAGAGACCGGAGAAGUAACGUGUGAAGUGUGCCCUAGUGGAAUACAAGAAGCCUCAGGAAAAUUCCCUCAGACCACAGUGUUUUCUUUCUCCUGUUUCCAGUUUAUUGUUCCUUUUUAUCAUCUUCCUUUCUUUUUUUGCCUCUAAAAAAAGUUCCUUUUCACCAAAAGUUGUAAGAAUGCAGUGAGAGUAAGAGAGAUGGGUUGGGUUAAGUAUAGUUACAGUAUACUUGAACAUGAAUGUGUAGGAUGCAAAUGAGCUGGCUAGAUAGAAGCAGAUGCCUUUGCUUCCUUAUUCUGUUUAGUGUCUCAUGCACUUUCAAGGUAAGUUAAUCCACAGAGAUACUGUGUCUAGACUGUGGACUUGCUGUAGAGAAGGAGAACCUGAAGCUACAGAGGCUUGGGAACUUCCAGGAUAGGCUGCUUGUGGAAAGAUUUGGAAGUUUUAGUCUCUGAGUCAAGGGCAAUUGUACUGUAGAGUCUCAACUCCCAAAGAGGUGUUGGAAGUGAUCAACUGUAUUCCUGAAGAGUAUAAUUAUAGAGAUUUUUUUAUGUAGAAAAUAUCUGCUGCUCAGACCUAAUAAGGCUUGCAAAUGCACAUUAUCCCGGUGUGGGAUUCAUAGCUUAUAAUGAAGUUGGUUUUGUAGGUUUGUAAUAUCUGCUGGUCUUCUCAGUUCCGGUGGAGAAUGAUUGAGAUACUUAAGAGGAAAUGUAAGAAAGCUUUUGGUUGUUCUUUCUUUUAAAUGAACCUCCAGAAAGAAGAAUUGCUCCUAAUACUCAGUUGUUACUUGACUUCAAAGUUGUUUAUUCCUAUUAUUAAAAAUUGAGUUGUUUUUGAAGAUUUACUAAAGCAAGAUCACCUAUGCCAUUACCCACCUAAACUCCUUGUCCAAUCCUGCCAUGUUCGUGGCUUCAGGAUGUAAUUUAAAGCGUGCAAAGUUUUAUCGUCAGCAGUUCAAACCACUGUACUUUCUUUGUGGUGUUCUCCAUUUGGUUCCUCAAGCAUUCUAAGAAACCUGAUCUUGUUUCUUAUGUGCAGAUUUUGAAAUGAAGUUUUAUACAUAUGUGGCAAAGCCAAUAGUAUGAUAGUAAUACUGUAAUGUUGCUACAUCAUAAAUCUUAAAAUUUGCAUUUGGAGCCUCAAAUCUCGCUCCUGACAAGCUAAUAACUCUAAUGAUCAGUCAGAGAGUUAAUGCAUUGUGACAA
Molecule: long non-coding RNA, 3866 nt
Filed under: Accipiter nisus (Eurasian sparrowhawk)
Lineage: Eukaryota; Metazoa; Chordata; Aves; Accipitriformes; Accipitridae
Description: lncRNA (ENSANIG00000009082.1)
Source: RNAcentral